Molecule: ribosomal RNA, 255 nt
Filed under: Escherichia coli
Lineage: Bacteria; Pseudomonadati; Pseudomonadota; Gammaproteobacteria; Enterobacterales; Enterobacteriaceae
Description: partial 16S ribosomal RNA
Rfam family: Bacterial small subunit ribosomal RNA
Source: RNAcentral
CUUGCUGCUUUGCUGACGAGUGGCGGACGGGUGAGUAAUGUCUGGGAAACUGCCUGAUGGAGGGGGAUAACUACUGGAAACGGUAGCUAAUACCGCAUAACGUCGCAAGACCAAAGAGGGGGACCUUCGGGCCUCUUGCCAUCGGAUGUGCCCAGAUGGGAUUAGCUAGUAGGUGGGGUAACGGCUCACCUAGGCGACGAUCCCUAGCUGGUCUGAGAGGAUGACCAGCCACACUGGAACUGAGACACGGUCCAG